Molecule: ribosomal RNA, 464 nt
Filed under: Vreelandella stevensii
Lineage: Bacteria; Pseudomonadati; Pseudomonadota; Gammaproteobacteria; Oceanospirillales; Halomonadaceae
Description: partial 16S ribosomal RNA
Rfam family: Bacterial small subunit ribosomal RNA
Source: RNAcentral
CCUACGGGGGGCUGCAGUGGGGAAUAUUGGACAAUGGGCGAAAGCCUGAUCCAGCCAUGCCGCGUGUGUGAAGAAGGCCUUCGGGUUGUAAAGCACUUUCAGUGGGGAAGAAAGCCUUGGGGCUAAUACCCUCGAGGAAGGACAUCACCCACAGAAGAAGCACCGGCUAAUCCGUGCCAGCAGCCGCGGUAAUACGGAGGGUGCGAGCGUUAAUCGGAAUUACUGGGCGUAAAGCGCGCGUAGGCGGUCUGAUAAGCCGGUUGUGAAAGCCCCGGGCUCAACCUGGGAACGGCAUCCGGAACUGUGAGGCUAGAGUGCAGGAGAGGAAGGUAGAAUUACCGGUGUAGCGGUGAAAUGCGUAGAGAUCGGGAGGAAUACCAGUGGCGAAGGCGGCCUUCUGGACUGACACUGACGCUGAGGUGCGAAAGCGUGGGUAGCAAACAGGAUUAGAUACCCUGGUAGUC